GGCUUUUGAUUAUUGUUGUUGUUGAUCCAAAUGUCGAACAUAGAUUGCUUGGCACUUGAUAUGGUUGAUCUAAUUUUAUGUAUUUAAUGGGGGCUAAAUGCAGCAACUUGAUGAGUUGGAGACAGAGGUGAAGUUGCUGUCAACUGCUGAUAAAUUUUACCAUAUUGCCUUCCCUUCAUUUUUUGCGCCAACUCAAUUUUUAUUGGGGAUGAUCAUUUGACACUGCCUGUUAAAAGUAUGUGAAAUGUUAUGAAAUGCUCUCAUUAAAUAUAAUUUUAUACGAGAUAUUUGUUACCUAUCCUCUUCUUGCUUCAUCUUCCCGCUCAUGUUUUUUCUUUUAUCUAUCAU
This 348-nucleotide long non-coding RNA is filed under the name Manihot esculenta (cassava). Its description in RNAcentral is "long non-coding RNA (MESC_LNC004171)". The record is from RNAcentral. Lineage: Eukaryota; Viridiplantae; Streptophyta; Magnoliopsida; Malpighiales; Euphorbiaceae.